RNAcentral lists this ribosomal RNA (551 nucleotides) under Aureobasidium proteae. RNAcentral describes it as "eukaryotic LSU rRNA". It matches the Rfam family "Eukaryotic large subunit ribosomal RNA", at positions 76 to 642 of the family's 3401-position model. The record is from RNAcentral. Lineage: Eukaryota; Fungi; Ascomycota; Dothideomycetes; Dothideales; Saccotheciaceae.
UGCCCUAGUAACGGCGAGUGAAGCGGCAACAGCUCAAAUUUGAAAGCUAGCCUUCGGGUUCGCAUUGUAAUUUGUAGAGGAUGAUUUGGGGAAGCCGCCUGUCUAAGUUCCUUGGAACAGGACGUCAUAGAGGGUGAGAAUCCCGUAUGUGACAGGAAAUGGCACCCUAUGUAAAUCUCCUUCGACGAGUCGAGUUGUUUGGGAAUGCAGCUCUAAAUGGGAGGUAAAUUUCUUCUAAAGCUAAAUAUUGGCGAGAGACCGAUAGCGCACAAGUAGAGUGAUCGAAAGAUGAAAAGCACUUUGGAAAGAGAGUUAAAAAGCACGUGAAAUUGUUGAAAGGGAAGCGCUUGCAAUCAGACUUGUUUAAACUGUUCGGCCGGUCUUCUGACCGGUUUACUCAGUUUGGACAGGCCAGCAUCAGUUUCGGCGGCCGGAUAAAGGCUCUGGGAAUGUGGCCUCCACUUCGGUGGAGGUGUUAUAGCCCAGGGUGUAAUACGGCCAGCCGGGACUGAGGUCCGCGCUUCGGCUAGGAUGCUGGCGUAAUGGUUGUA